AUCAAAUAAAACUUUCAACAACGGAUCUCUUGGUUCCAGCAUCGAUGAAGAACGCAGCGAAAUGCGAUAAGUAAUGUGAAUUGCAAAAUUCAGUGAAUCAUCGAAUCUUUGAACGCACAUUGCGCCCUCUGGUAUUCCGGGGGGCAUGCCUGUUCGAGCGUCAUUUCACCACUCAAGCCUGGCUUGGUAUUGGGCGUCGCGG
Molecule: ribosomal RNA, 202 nt
Filed under: fungal sp. S2.4.3
Lineage: Eukaryota; Fungi
Description: 5.8S ribosomal RNA
Rfam family: 5.8S ribosomal RNA (bases 10-163)
About the family: 5.8S ribosomal RNA (5.8S rRNA) is a component of the large subunit of the eukaryotic ribosome.
Source: RNAcentral